Long non-coding RNA from Myxocyprinus asiaticus (Chinese sucker), 1005 nucleotides. RefSeq lists it as uncharacterized. The record is from RefSeq and is a predicted model, not a curated record. The transcript is spliced from 3 exons. NCBI's taxonomy places the organism in Eukaryota, Metazoa, Chordata, Actinopteri, Cypriniformes, Catostomidae.
GUGCGGCUCAGGCGUUUCCGGUUACAGCAUUCAGCGCGCCUACGUGCAGAGAUUUAUUAGUGAGACAAAACAAAAUGGUGUUUUCCAUUUGAUGUUUAACAGCUGCAAAACUGCUGAUGUUGCAGUUUAAUGGACCACAGUGGACCAGGGAGGAACAACGUCAAGUGGGAGCCACAGGUGGACCCCCAGAAGGUGCUGAUGCCACCACUUCACAUCAAAUUGGGCCUUUGUCAGAGCUCUAGAUAAGGAGUCGGCAGUCAAAGGCAAAGGUCAAAGCCAGUGUCUUCAUCGGACCACAGAUAAAGAAGAUCCUGGAGUGCAGUUAAUUCCCCAAGAAGCUCACUAGUAAGGAGAAAGUGGCUUGGAACAGCUUUGUCGCAGUAGUUCGGGGCUUCCUGGGCAAUCACAAGGCCGAAAACUAUGUGGAGAUGGUUGAGAUUCUGGUGAAGAACUACGGCACAAUGGGCUGUAGGAUGUUCCUCAAAGUCCAUAUCCUUGAUGCUCAUCUUGAUAAAUUCAAGGAGAACAUCGGAGCGUACUCGGAGGAGCAAGGUGUGCUUUCAUCAGGAUAUACUGGACUUUGAACGCCACUACCAAGGACAGUAUAACGAGAACAUGAUGGGAGACUAUAUUUGGGGGCUGAUUCGUGAAAGUGAUUUACAGUAUAAUCGUAAAUCUCGAAAAACUACUCACUUCUAAAUCUUUUGUAGUCAUUUUUGUAUUACUUAACUAUAAAUACAUGUUAAUUUGGAUUCAUAUGUUGUUUUUUUCUGACUUUAUGUGAACGAAAAGACACAAAUUCUAAUUGGAAAUAAGUACAUUUCAAAAUAUCACUGUCCUGGUCACAAAAGCAAAGUUUGUGGGGAAUAAUAGCCAUUUUCUAUGCUUCUGAGGCAUAAGCAAUUAGGAAAUAACACUUACUACCCAGGAACAAAAAUUGUGUUAUAUAGUACUUAUCAGUGAAACAGUGACACAAAAUAAAUAUUAAAACAUAUAUUUAAUAAA